GAUGAACGCUAGCGGCAGGCUUAACACAUGCAAGUCGAGGGGUAUAUAGUUUUCGGAUUAUAGAGACCGGCAAACGGGUGCGGAACACGUACGCAAUCUGCCUCUGUCUUGGGGAUAGCCCAUAGAAAUGUGGAUUAAUACCCAAUAGUAUUAUAGAGUGGCAUCACUUAGUAAUUAAAAGAUUUAUUGGACAGAGAUGAGCGUGCGUCCCAUUAGCUAGUUGGUGCGGUAACGGCGUACCAAGGCGACGAUGGGUAGCUGGUGUGAGAGCACGACCAGCCACACGGGGCACUGAGACACGGGGCCCGACUCCUACGGGAGGCAGCAGUGAGGAAUAUUGGUCAAUGGGCGAAGCCUGAACCAGCCAUGCCGCGUGAAGGAUGAAGGCGUUCUGCGUUGUAAACUUCUUUAUUUGGGUAGAAAAUUGUGGUUUCUACUGCAACCGACGGUACCAGAUGAAUAAGCACCGGCUAACUCCGUAGCCAGCAGCCGCGGUAAU
This 499-nucleotide ribosomal RNA is filed under the name uncultured bacterium. RNAcentral describes it as "bacterial SSU rRNA". It matches the Rfam family "Bacterial small subunit ribosomal RNA", at positions 28 to 524 of the family's 1533-position model. The record is from RNAcentral.